Molecule: long non-coding RNA, 1022 nt
Organism: Silurus meridionalis
Lineage: Eukaryota; Metazoa; Chordata; Actinopteri; Siluriformes; Siluridae
Exons: 2
Source: RefSeq, a predicted model, not a curated record
UGCACUCUUUCCAGGCGCACCGUGGAUAUUACUUUCCUUUUCCCGGAUUCCCUCAUUCGGAUUAUUCCUCAGACUCUGGACUAUUGUGGGCCACCGGAAUAAUCCUUUCACAGCAAUUGCUGCUAAUCGCUGCUGCUUCUUGCUGCUGUUUGUUUGUUUGGCGGUUGUCAUGGAGAUACUAGAAUUUUUAUGAUGAUUCUGUACACAUCACUCUGGUGGGAGAUUAAACCAAAAAUUCAGCCUUAAAGAAAAUAUAACUGUUUUAUCCUGUUUCUUUUGCCACAUCUCAUCUCUGAGACUUUUCAGAUGUUGCUACACUGAAAACUAAAUACAGAUCUCAGCUCAAUAUUGAACAUGACUUGAGAGUGACAGUAUCAAGUCUACAACCCCGUUUUAAAAAGAUUUAUGAAAUGAAUUUGCUCUAUUUUGCACAAACUGCAAAGUGACAAAGUCCAAGAGAUAACACAACGACACCUUUAUUUUCUCUAUUUUUGGUUUUGAUGCUAGUUGAUGUUCAUUUAGAAUUGGAUAGUUCAAUAAAUUAGACAUUUUUCAACUUGAAGAAUUUUAUUAUCCUUUUUUGAGGUAACGGAGGACAGGUGGGUUUAAAAACCCACCCCUCUGAAGUGGUAAAUGUCAGAAAAAGAUUGAAAAUCACUGCAUUAAAACACAAACAGAAGUCACAUUAGUACAGAAUGGAGCAUAAAGCACGUCCUGAUAGUGCCGCUAGAGGGCAGUGUGAGACUGAGAGUUGAGGAUGUGAGCUGUGUGAAGCUGGAGAUCAAUAGUCUGUUAAGGGGUGGGAAGAGGGGAAAAGAAGGGGAAGAAGGGAAAAGAGAAAAAAGAGAAAGGAAAUGGAUAGAUGGACAUUUAUUAUGUUUUUUGGCAGAUCGAUGUUUAUAAAUCCCCCAAUAGUGCACAAAACUACUGAUGAUGUGAAUGAAAAUACAUCACUUGUCACUCAUGUUAAUUAAUAUCUGUAUGAUUUGACUAAUUUUUACAAUAAAGGGGCAUAAAAUGGA